This 75-nucleotide transfer RNA is filed under the name Candidatus Omnitrophota bacterium. Its description in RNAcentral is "tRNA-Arg". It matches the Rfam family "tRNA". Rfam says of the family: Transfer RNA (tRNA) molecules are approximately 80 nucleotides in length. The record is from RNAcentral. Lineage: Bacteria; Pseudomonadati; Candidatus Omnitrophota.
GCGCCUAUAGCUCAGAUGGAUAGAGCACGGCCCUCCUAAGGCCGGUUUGGGCACGUUCGAGUCGUGCUAGGCGCA